Topomyia yanbarensis is the source of this 660-nucleotide long non-coding RNA. RefSeq lists it as uncharacterized. The transcript is spliced from 3 exons. The record is from RefSeq and is a predicted model, not a curated record. NCBI's taxonomy places the organism in Eukaryota, Metazoa, Arthropoda, Insecta, Diptera, Culicidae.
CAAGAAAUACGUCUGGCAGCUCUGAUUAGAAGGCUCGCGGAAACUCCAAAACAAAAACAUUGGUUAUGUAAAGUCUGUAAAGUACAAAUACUCAGCUCAGACAUAACUGACGAAUUUUGUAAUAAAGUUUCAAUGCGUAUUUCUGAAUGCAAUGGUAUACCGGCGUAACAAAAUUCUGGAACUAGCACUAGUUACAAUUUUCGGCAUCGGCGGCGGAUUCUACAUUUUCCAACCCUCGUUUCAAAAGUAUCAAAUCGAGCAUAGCGCCAGCAAGGCAGCAACUGUUAGCACCAAUUCACAACAGGAAUAACUAGAGCAAAUUUAAUCAACGAAGAUGUCCAAUUUUAUGAAAACGCUGCGAAUGUUCCAGCACUCGCCGGUUGCCAUUCUCGGCAGUGCGAUUAUUGUAACCGGUUCACUCGCAUUUUGCUAUAAACGAGUAUACGAGCCCCAUGCAGCAAGAAAACGUAGAGCAGAAGCAGAAUUAAUGGCCGAUUACAUUUUUCGUAAAGAACAGUUGGCACGCGGGCUCAGUGUUCCAGAUGACGGAACCAUAAUCGACAGAUAGGAGUUCCAGCAGUGUUACUUUGACAAUCUGGAAUAGAUUCGAUUAGCUGAAGUAACAAAUUAAAAUAAAAACGAAUUCAAAUCCUUUCAAAA